GCAGCAUUAUUGGAGGUGUGGCCUUGUU
RNAcentral lists this non-coding RNA (28 nucleotides) under Rattus norvegicus (Norway rat). Lineage: Eukaryota; Metazoa; Chordata; Mammalia; Rodentia; Muridae. The record is from RNAcentral.